This 520-nucleotide long non-coding RNA is filed under the name Triticum aestivum (bread wheat). RNAcentral's name for it is "long non-coding RNA (TAES_LNC013725)". The record is from RNAcentral. Lineage: Eukaryota; Viridiplantae; Streptophyta; Magnoliopsida; Poales; Poaceae.
UUCUUCUGUACUACUCGAAGAAGGUAAAUAGUCUUUUAUGUUAUUCAUUUUUCUUUUGAAUGCAAUCGGUUAGUUAAAACAUCAAACCUGUCAUUCUUUCUAGAUUUCUGAUGUGUUAUUUUUUCAGCAUAACACAUUGGACUUUCUAUAGAUUUCAUGCUUUAUGCAAAUUAGCUGACCUAGGAAAUUUUUGUGAAGUGAUGCGAGCAUGAAGAAGGCCUUAGAAAAGAUGCAUCUUGUUGAUGAGGUAAAGGAGGAGGAGGAGGUUGUGGUGGUCGGGGAUGGCACGCCGAAGGCUGAUGCUGGCCGAGAUGAACGAGAUGUUGGCCAAGAAGAGGCAUAUUUAGCAGUGGUGGUUGAUCCAUUGUGCGCCAAAAAAUUAGCAAAUCCAUCAGCAAACGGGAUUAUGCGGUUUGAGUCUACGGUACACUUAUUUGCAACCUUCUGUUUUUCUGCUGCUGUUUGGGGAUUUUUUUCUGAUGAAAUUCAAUUACCUACGACCAAGCUAUGGCACUCAUUC